AAGUUGUUCUUCUUCACUUUACUUCUUUUUCUGUCUUCUCCUAGCCAGCAUGAGCCAGUAACUAAACGUAGUCAGGAUUUCCUGCAACUCUCUCAUGACGAAGGCAAUUUGUCUUAAAUUCUUCAUUCCUGAGAUAUGGAAGCUCAAACAUCGCUUACCGCGACAGUUUACACGAGGUCCUGUUGUCCAGAAAGAGCAGUCAGAGUCUUUUAAACUUAAGAU
Amphimedon queenslandica is the source of this 222-nucleotide long non-coding RNA. RefSeq lists it as uncharacterized. Lineage: Eukaryota; Metazoa; Porifera; Demospongiae; Haplosclerida; Niphatidae. The record is from RefSeq and is a predicted model, not a curated record. The transcript has 2 exons.